This 441-nucleotide ribosomal RNA is filed under the name uncultured eukaryote. RNAcentral's name for it is "SSU rRNA". It matches the Rfam family "Eukaryotic small subunit ribosomal RNA", at positions 643 to 1090 of the family's 1831-position model. The record is from RNAcentral.
GGGUCUGGCUGGCCGGUCCGCCUCACCGCGAGUACUGGUCCGGCUGGACCUUUCCUUCUGGGGAACCUCAUGGCCUUCACUGGCUGUGGGGGGAACCAGGACUUUUACUGUGAAAAAAUUAGAGUGUUCAAAGCAGGCCUUUGCUCGAAUACAUUAGCAUGGAAUAAUAGGAUAGGACGUGUGGUUCUAUUUUGUUGGUUUCUAGGACCGCCGUAAUGAUUAAUAGGGAUAGUCGGGGGCGUCAGUAUUCAGCUGUCAGAGGUGAAAUUCUUGGAUUUGCUGAAGACUAACUACUGCGAAAGCAUUCGCCAAGGAUGUUUUCAUUAAUCAGGCAACGAAAGUUAGGGGAUCGAAGACGAUCAGAUACCGUCGUAGUCUUAACCAUAAACUAUGCCGACUAGGGAUCGGACGGGAUUCUAUAAUGACCCGUUCGGCGCCUUA